UUAGGAAAAAGCAUUUAUCACUGGCCAGUAAGGAUUAAUCAGACUCUGCUCAUGUUAUCAGUUAUUUAUAUACCAUUUUCCCAACUGAGCAUCCCUGCCACCGUAAUGACCUGAAUGCAUGCAGUGCUCAGCAGCUGAGGCAAAGCUUACAAGCUGAUUUUAUUGCUUUAGACACGUUGAACAACAGAAGAGCCCAUCAGCACUGGAACAUUAGGAUGCCAGAAGUGUGUUCCAAUCAUUUGCAAUAGGAAAUCACUCUACAGUAUGAAUAUACAUUAAAUCUUGAGUCUCUUUUUUUCAGUCUAUAACAUGCAAUAAACUAUACCUUAGCAGCAGUGAUAAAUGCAUUCUCCUAACUGAAAUGCAAAUGGUAUCUUAAUUUGAUAUUUAAGUUAAAUGAUCACUAUUUCCCACUAACGGUUCUAUAGUUAACCUCUUUGACUUCUUGGCACUACUGAAAUUUGGGGGCAUAUUGAAUUACCUUCUAUCGACUGAGAAUAAUAACCUUCAUAUCCAUGAUACAGAAUAGUACUUUUAUUUUUUGAGUUGGCUCCCAGACCUUGCAUAGAGUAUUCUUAUUCUUAUAUCAUAGUAAUUUAAUUUGUGUUCACUAUGAGUCAUUGAGUUAGACAGUUAUUUAUGUC
Vicugna pacos (alpaca) is the source of this 644-nucleotide non-coding RNA. The record is from RefSeq and is a predicted model, not a curated record. Lineage: Eukaryota; Metazoa; Chordata; Mammalia; Artiodactyla; Camelidae.